RNAcentral lists this ribosomal RNA (309 nucleotides) under uncultured bacterium. RNAcentral's name for it is "bacterial SSU rRNA". It matches the Rfam family "Bacterial small subunit ribosomal RNA", at positions 28 to 342 of the family's 1533-position model. The record is from RNAcentral.
GACGAACGCUGGCGGCGCGCCUUACGCAUGCAAGUCGAACGGAGUACUCCUUCGGGAGUGCUCAGUGGCAGACGGGUGAGUAACACGUAGGUGACCUAUCCGAGAGUGGGGAAUAACUCUCCGAAAGGAGAGCUAAUACCGCAUGAAGUCGCCCGGUAAUUCAGGGUGACCAAAGCAGCAAUGCGCUUUCGGAGGGGCCUGCGGCCCAUCAGCUAGUUGGGGGGUAACGGCCUACCAAGGCAACGACGGGUAGCUGGUCUGAGAGGACGACCAGCCACAAGGGGACUGAGACACGGCCCCUACUACCUC